AUGACAGUUAUACACAUGUAAUUUAUAUCUAGUCAAUAAGUGUCAGCAAAUGUCUUUGUAUCGCAGAAAAAAUAUAGAGAAAAAUCAUGUAAAAAAUCAUUUGUGUAUAAAUAUUUCAAAUUCAUCAAAAAUCAAUAUCUAGUGAUUAGAAAAGAUUCAAUUUUGUUAUCUUAAGUUUUGAAUUUUUUCUUUUUUAGUAGCUUUGAUAUCUAAGUUUACCAUAGAGGUAGACUAAUUAUCUCCCGAUUUUAUCUCUAUAGAGAAACUAUAUACAGAGAGUUACUGCCUUUAACCUUGUACUGAAUCAGCUGGCUGAACCUAGGAUAGGUGUCAGUGACUGAUCGUGGUGACGACUGGUACAGGGUCAUCAGUCUCCAGAUUUAAAUAAUCAUUGUUGUCUGGUAACCUGUAAUCCUGUAUCAGCUGGUUCAUUGGAGAUUGACAUCAGUUUGAAAAGAUAAUUUCCUUUUUGAUGUCUUAAAAUGUUAAAAGUCUAUGAUUCUGACUGUUAAAUUAGAUCAUUGUCUAUAUAUAUAUUAUGAUAUUAUAUAAAUUAAAUAGAAAUUGAGCAGGAAAUAAGUAUGAUAGUUUCAGUAUAUUUAUGUGAAUUUCAUGUAAAGUCAAUUUUUUAAGCUUAUAAUUAUGCAAACUAACAGUUUGAGUCAUUCUAUAAAAAAAAGUCUAGUUCUUUAUUAAUUGUGUUGAAAUAGACUUAAACAACGCAACCUGAUUCCAUGUGUACACACAAUAACACACACACGUACACGUAUAUUACACUAUAACUGUCAUUACUGGUAGUGUUUUUAUCUUAUCUAUAACAUAUGUAUUGUUAAAACUACUUAUCAAAUCAGUACAUUAUUGUGUUGUUAUGAUAUAGAGUAAUUUUACCCUAUUUCGACCUCAAGUCAAGCUUUACAUAGUGUACAUCAAACCGACCUGAAUCAUUGAUAUUUCUAUUCCAUUGUCUCUAAUUCUACCACCAUACAUUAAUUGCCAAACUCCCUUUAAAGUGCCAAAAAGUGGCUGCCAAUAAUUGCUGGCAUUAAAAGAAGUUUUACUUUGUGGUACUAUAUAUGUAUAUCAGUGAUCAACAUUUACACGAUACUGUAAACGUUCCAUGUUUUAGUGGUAAUCUUAUUUUGGCGCUUUUCACUCUUGAAGCAUUACACUAAAUUAUGACUGCGCUAAUUACAUCAUCUAUAAUGCUGCUCUUACAGAAAUAUGAGAAUGCGUUAAUUCUUCAGUGUGAUAAUUUCUUAUAAUUUGGAAAUGCUCGAAAAUUUGAGUAUGCUAAAGUUAUAACAUUUACAGUAAUUUACACAAUUAUGAGGAUGUCUGUAUAAGAAUAAAACUACAUGCAUUAGUUAAUCCGUGUACUGUAUUAUUAAGUCAGAAUGAGAAAUUAUUAUGAUGAUUCAGUCGUUAUUAGCUAAUAUGGUCUGAAGGGCCAAGUGAUCAUGUGCCCUGAUGCGGCAUUCAUCCGUCGGUCGUCUGGCGUCGUCAUUCUGCUGUCAACUUUUCCUUUUAAAUUAAUUCUCAUUAACCAAGAGGUCCAUGGUUAUGAUUUUUGGCCAAUAGGUUCCUUGGAUGGCAAAAAGAAAUGAUCUUGACCUAUAUUCACUGGGGUCAAAUUCAUUUGACUUCUUCUCACAAACCAAAUUAAAUGGCCUAUAAUAUAAUCAUGACAUUUGGCUGGUAAGCUCCUGGGAUCGAUAGAGCCGCUCAUAGUUUGUGACCUUGACCUAUAUUAAAACAUACAAAGGACUUUGUAUGAUUGAAAUAUAUAACUGAAUGUCCCAAAACCAAUUUCUUUUGAUUAAAUGAAAGGCAGAGAAUUGUCAAACAAAUAAUACCAGGUGAAUGAUGCAGGCCCAUUGGGCCUCUUUUAACUUGUACUAGGCAUAUUUUGUCAAAUCUGAAAUAGGUGUACAUAAAUAUGUACCUUACAAGUUUUCGUAAGGUCAGUGUUUAAUUUAUACCUGAUCGGUCUGAGUUUCAAACUUACUGUUGUUAGCAUUGUGAUGGACAUUUGUAACACAUUCUUUAGCUUAAAAGUUUCCAUACAAAAAACAUUAAAGAAAUAAAGGAAAGUUCCUUCCUAGGAUCUGUUUCCUUAAGUCCAAUACAUUAUGUAAUUCUUUCCUUAAUCUAAGGAACAUUGAUGAAACUUGAGCCAGGAUGGAAAUUAAUUUUGCUUUUCUAGAGGUUUUAAGUCAAAGUAGAUUAUAUUUGACCAAAUAAUAACAUUGUAGGUGCUCCUAUCCUUGGCUAAGCAUUAAUCCCCUCUCUGUCAUAAUUGUACACACAUUAUCAGCUGUUUAUCUGAAAUGUUCUCCAGUCUGUUCUAGUUCUGUUUAUGACAUCACACCUAGAACUCUGUAUGUUCAGUGAAACAUCUGUCACGUACGUAAACAAAGAAAAUGUUGUGAUGUGUAAAUUCACAUCAGAAGCAAACAGAAAGGGAAAGAGAGAGGGCAUAUGUUUAAUUAUAUUAAAAUUUAUAAUAGGCAUUCUCCUAUGGAAAUUACCAUAAUUAUCAACUCUGAGAAUGGGAUCUUUGAUUAUUAGUACCCAGUAAUAUAAGUCAUACUUGGGUACGUACCACUAAUUCAUAAAAAAAAAUUAACUGCUACAUCAUUUUUUUUCUGCUCACUUAAAUGCGUCUAUAUUUUUGUAUAAGAGUUGCAGACAAGGUUUAUGACAGGAACAUCAUACCCAUUCGCUAGAAAAAUCAACAUAAAUUUCAAUGUACAAAAAGUGUAUUUCAAUGUGAUGGAAAGAAAGCAAAGUUAACAUUAAAAAAGCCACUUAUAUUAUGGUAAAUAUGAGAUAGGUUUGGUAGGUGGUAUUUACAAUGUGAGUAUAUAAAACUCAAUUAUUGACAGGCCUGUGUGAUUUACAAAUGGUGAACAAUGUUCAGUGUAUUUACAGAGAAAUGUCGCAGACAGGUGUUACAUUACAGAGCUGAUUAAGGUGUAAUGAUGUUGGGAAUGAUAUUUUUAUCCGUGUCAUACUUAAUAUGACUGGUAUUUUAAUAACAUGAAAAUCUGAUAUCCAUAUAUGCAUGCUGUUGUCCAAUUCAAUUUACCAAUAAUUUAUCAAAUGAUCAGGUAUACCUUCAAAGAGCAUUAUUACAGUAUAAAUUUUUGAACAUUAUAGAAAAUGAAAUUUUUGUCACUUUCGUAUAAAAAAAUUAAUUUGACAUCUUCUGCGGUAGCUAUACUUGAACUACAAAAAUGUGUAGUGGGUUAGGUUAGGUUAAUUAUGCCAAUGUAUGUAACACCCGCUCACCACGUCUACCUGCUGCUUAUAUAGGUAUAUAGGUAUAGCAUUCGCAUAUCGACAAGAUACAGCUGCAGCCCAAGGCAAUUCUUAACCAAUCUCUAUACCUAAACAUAUAUCAGUCAAUGUAUACCGACAAAUUAACUACAAUGUUGCUCUGACAUUAUUUAUAUCGAUCGCGAUACAUUACAUAUGUAUACACCCUGGAUUGGUGUAUAAAAGUUUGAUUUGGUUUUUAACUGUCAUCCAGUUAAUAUAUUUUGAAUAUAAGUGUCCAAUGUAAAAAUCAUUCACAUGAAAAUGUCCUCAUAUGAGUCUUAUAGAUUUUUGUGUCUUCAACACGUUUUUACAUGGCCCCUCAGGCAUUUUAUAUUCUGAGCGGAAUCCCUUUUAUAGAUAUACAUCUGUAUAGAGAUGGCAGUAGAUUUUGGAUGUGAGCUAUGGUAUUAUUGAUCAGUAUUUAGUAGUGUAGGGGGACAUGAAUGUGUCGGGCAUUGUCAUUGGGGACCUCUGGCUGUUGUAUUAGAGUACGUACUAAAAGUGUUUGAUGUAGGUUUAUAGUAGAGAGAAACGUGUUCGGUGUUCAAGUCUACAUGUAUGUAAGAGAUUUGUUGUAUUAAAAAAAACGAUAAUUUGAGACAAACGUAGUGAUAGUUGGUUUAUAAGAUUUAGAUUGUAUGAUACUUCUAUCGGUACAUUGACACAUGUACAGGAACAUCGAGCUCUGCAUGUUAAUAUGACUUGUAUGUCACAGUGUGUUGUACAUGUGUAAAGCACCUGUAUAACAGGAGUGAAUCAGGUCUGUUGGAGGCUUUGAUCAGGUUCAUUUGAAGGCUUUGAUCCAAUGGUCAUAUGCACACUGAAAAAUUACACCAAUCCUCACUUUGACUUGCACCCGUCUCAAAAAAUUAAGAUGAUAAGUAAAACUGAACUUUAUAAUUGUGGUCUUCUGGAUAAUGUCGGAUUCUGGAGACUAGUCAAAUUUGGAUCAUGUUUGCAAAUUGAUGUCUUGCCUCAGAUUGUUGGUAGAACCACUCGUUAAUUAUUUGUUAUAUAUUUAUAGGUACUUUUUGAGUCUGCCUCAUUACACUGAUCAGAAAAACUGUAUGUUACAUGGGGGUAAAUCAAACUAGGGGCAGAUCAGCUAGUAAGAAUUUCGCUGGGCAAUUCUUAACUUAAAAUUUAGGAGUCAGUAGCCAUGCUGUCUUAAAUCAUCGCUCUCUAUAUACAUAUAUAGUAUACCUAUGUUACGUCACAGCUGUUCUCAUGAUCUGGGCCAGUUUACAAGCCAACAAGCUGUGUGGUGGUUUAAUAUGUACAAACCUAUAUAGAUACACCGUUCAGUGGUUAUAUACACUUUACUAUAGCGUGAUUCUUGAUAUUAUUAUAGCUGUAAAUACUAGCUUUAUACUCUAAUGAAGUGAUGCAUUAGUACAUAUUACCUGCAAUAACCCAAGGCAUCCAAUAAGUGAUUCAACUUUGGCUUAUUGCCAAAAUAAUAAGUUAAAUAUUCGUCAUCAUCCUAAAAAUGUUUGUUGUCUGUCUAUUAUUGUGAGAAGUUUAAUUUGUGUGUUCCUUGAAAAAUAAUUGAAUUAAGUGGAAAGAAAUAUAUUUCUGUUAACUUGGUUUUGGACAUCUACAAUUUUACCAAUGUAAGAUUUUUUUAUCCCACCCUUGGGUUGAGACAAGCUGCUCUUGUUUUUUGCACGCUCUAACAAUUGUAUGACGUCAUGCACAGCAACAAUACAAUCACAUCACACCAACAUUGUCUUGCAUUGAUGUAACGGCAAUAUUAGAUACAUACGGAGGUAACAUAUGGUGAGAGAAAAAUAAUCAUACAACCUCUUGCGAAUGAGGCAGGGGAAUGUCAAACCUCGGGGUAAGAUUCUUAAUAUAAGCAGUCAGACACUUGGCAAACCUUGUGGUUGGCAACUUUAGAAUCUUCCCCUUGGGUUAAAAUAACCCCAACGGGCUGAAAGGUUGUAAUAAUCACACCCAAGGGUUGAGAUAAGCAAUACAUGUUCUUACCACAUUCUCAACAAUUGGAUGAUGUCACCCUUACAAUAUAACGGUGUCACAUAGACAAUGUUAUCAUGUAACAUCAAUAUUCGCUACAUAAGAGAGUAAGAGACAAAUAAUCACUCAAGUCCUUGGGAGUGAUGGAGACGGGGGGAUCUCAACCCUCAGGGUAAGAUUCUUAAGCUGUCAAACACUUGAUAAGCCACAUGUUUGGCAACCUUAGAAUCUUCCCCAGUAGUUGAGAUUCCCCUGUCUCACUCCCAAGGGAGUGAACGAUUCUAUCAAUGAAGUAAACAUUGAGAUUCCCCGUCUCACUCCCAAGGGAGUGAACGAUUCUAUAAAUCUAUCCUCGUGUAGUAAACAUUGAGAUUCCCUGUCUCACUCCCAAGGGAGUGAACAAUUCUAUCAAUGUAGUAAACAUUGAGAUUCCCCGUCUCACUCCCAAGGGAGUUAGCGAUUCUAUCAAUGUAGUAAACAUUGAGAUUCCCCUGUCUCACUCCCAAGGGAGUGAACGAUUCUAUAAAUCUAUUCUCGUGUAGUAAACAUUGAUGUAUCAUCAGGACCAGGGGAACACAUGUUUUACUGGGACAUAUACUUAGUUGGUAAAGAUUAUCAGCACCUUCAGCAAUAGACAUGAGGAUGAACUCGUUAUAUGGUAUGUUGUUUUACUCAUUAUAUUGGUUAUAUUGUAUCAUUGUUAUUAUCAGUGCAAUUGGAGGACUUUUAUUGUUUAUGGUUUUUCUAGGACAAAUGUCUGUUGUUUGUUAAAACCUAUUCCAGAGAAAUGUCUGUAUUGUUUGUUAAAGUCUUUAUCAGAAAUGUCUGUAUUGUUUGUUGAAGUCUUUAUCAGAAAUGUCUGUAUUGUUUGUUAAAGUCUUUAUCAGAAAUGUCUGUAUUGUUUGUUGAAGUCUUUAUCAGAAAUGUCUGUAUUGUUUGUUAAAGUCUUUAUGAGAAGUUUGUUAAAGUCUUUAUCAGAAAUGUCUGUAUUGUUUGUUGAAGUCUUUCUCCAGCAAAUUUCUGAAUAUCUGUAUUAUAUAUAUAUACAUUGUACUGGUAUAUUGGUAUGUCAGUUUAACAUGGUACAAUUGUUAUGUGAUAUCUGUUAGGAGGUGCUAUGUCCACUUUUACAGUGCUCAGAGAGAAUACAACUAGGUUUUAUUUACUAUGGAGAAGACAAAUUCUGAUAUAGGUACACUUACUAUUAAGGGCAAAUUCUUAUAUAGGUACAAUUACUAGUAAGGACAAUUUCUGAUAUAGGUACAAUUACUAGUAAGGACAAAUUCUGAUAUAGGUAUGGUUACUAGUAAGGACAAAUUCUGAUAUAGGUAUGGUUACUAGGAAGAACAAAUUCUGAUAUAGGUAUGGUUACUAGGAAGGACAAAUUCUGAUAUAGGUACAAUUACUAGUAAGGACAAAUUCUGAUAUAGGUACAAUUACUAGUUAAAGGACAAAUUCUGAUAUAGGUACAAUUACUAGUAAGGACAAUUUCUGAUAUGUAUAAUUACUAGUAAGGACAAAUUCUGAUAUAGGUACAAUUACUAGUAAGGACAAUUUCUGAUAUAGGUACAAUUACUAGUAAGGACAAAUUCUGAUAUAGGUAUGGUUACUAGGAAGGACAAAUUCUGAUAUAGGUACAAUUACUAGUAAGGACAAAUUCUGAUAUAGGUACAAUUACUAGUUAAAGGACAAAUUCUGAUAUAGGUACAAUUACUAGUAAGGACAAUUUCUGAUAUGUAUAAUUACUAGUAAGGACAAAUUCUGAUAUAGGUACAAUUACUAGUAAGGACAAUUUCUGAUAUAGGUACAAUUACUAGUAAGGACAAAUUCUGAUAUAGGUACAAUUACUAGUUAAAGGACAAAUUCUGAUAUAGGUACAAUUACUAGUAAGGACAAAUUCUGAUAUACAGUGUAGAUACAAAUACUAGUAAGGACAAAUUCUGAUAUAGGUACAAUUACUAGUAAGGACAAAUUCUGAUAUAGGUAUGGUUACUAGGAAGGACAAAUUCUGAUAGGUACAAUUACUAGUAAGGUACAAUUUCUGAUAGGUACAAUUACUAGUAAGGACAAAUUCUAUUAGGUACAAUGACUAGUGAGGACAAUUUCUGAUAUAGGUACAAUUACUAGUAAGGACAAUUUCUGAUAUAGGUACAAUUACUAGUAAGGACAAAUUCUGAUAUAGGUAUGGUUACUAGGAAGGACAAAUUCUGAUAGGUACAAUUACUAGUUAAAGGACAAAUUCUGAUAUAGGUACAAUUACUAGUAAGGACAAUUUCUGAUAGGUACAAUUACUAGUAAGGACAAAUUCUGAUAUACAGUGUAGAUACAAAUACUAGUAAGGACAAAUUCUGAUAUAGGUACAAUUACUAGUAAGGACAAAUUCUGUGAUUGCUGAUAAGGAAUCAUGUGUUAAGAGAUUUUAAAAGUGUCGAUAUAGAUUUGUUUUCAAAAUAUAUUGAAGUUGAUACUUUUCAAUGGAAUGGCUGUUAAAUUGUUGUGAUGGCAGGAUUGUAUAAAACAGUGUAUGAUAAUGUUUGACCUGUCAUUGACCGUCAUUGACCGUCAUUGUAAUAGAGAGAUUGUACUAUUACCGUGUAUGAUAAUGUUUGAU
This is a long non-coding RNA of Pecten maximus, 7909 nucleotides long. RefSeq lists it as uncharacterized. Lineage: Eukaryota; Metazoa; Mollusca; Bivalvia; Pectinida; Pectinidae. The record is from RefSeq and is a predicted model, not a curated record. The transcript has 3 exons.